GGGCCCGUAGCUCAGCCAGGCAGAGCGGCGGACCCCGCAUAGGCCUCCAGAGGGUGCGGGAGGCCGAGGCUCCAGACCCGUAGGUCGGGGGUUCAAAUCCCCCCGGGCCCA
Transfer RNA from Aeropyrum pernix K1, 111 nucleotides. It matches the Rfam family "tRNA". From Rfam's summary of the family: Transfer RNA (tRNA) molecules are approximately 80 nucleotides in length. Their secondary structure includes four short double-helical elements and three loops (D, anti-codon, and T loops). Lineage: Archaea; Thermoproteati; Thermoproteota; Thermoprotei; Acidilobales; Acidilobaceae. The record is from Rfam.